This 253-nucleotide ribosomal RNA is filed under the name uncultured bacterium. RNAcentral's name for it is "partial 16S ribosomal RNA". It matches the Rfam family "Bacterial small subunit ribosomal RNA", at positions 524 to 776 of the family's 1533-position model. The record is from RNAcentral.
UACGUAGGGGGCAAGCGUUGUCCGGAUUUAUUGGGCGUAAAGAGCGUGUAGGCGGCCUGACAGGUCUGCUGUGAAAACUCGAGGCUCAACCUCGAGAUGUCGGCGGAAACCGUCUGGCUAGAGUCCGGAAGAGGAGAGUGGAAUUCCUGGUGUAGCGGUGAAAUGCGCAGAUAUCAGGAAGAACACCUAUGGCGAAGGCAGCUCGCUGGGACGGUACUGACGCUAAGGCGCGAAAGCGUGGGGAGCGAACAGG